Suricata suricatta (meerkat) is the source of this 653-nucleotide long non-coding RNA. RefSeq lists it as uncharacterized. The transcript is spliced from 3 exons. The record is from RefSeq and is a predicted model, not a curated record. NCBI's taxonomy places the organism in Eukaryota, Metazoa, Chordata, Mammalia, Carnivora, Herpestidae.
GAAACACACACAUACAACGAGGUCCUGCCCUGACUGGUUGGCGAAAGGUGGCCAGAGGCUCACAGGAGCCUCACGCUGUACUUCCCACAGGAACAAUGGCUGAGUAUCUGCUCAUUCAGUGUUGGCCCCAACUUUACAGAUCAUAACUAGGACGAUGAGAACCGACUGCACUUGGUGGAGUCAUUGUCACGUGUGUGCCGCGAGUGAACGUCAGAGCAGAGAGCCUCGCUACCAAUGGCUUCCUUCACUGUCCUCGGACACAGAGUUCCAGGGAUCCACAUAGAUCGACGUGGCCACAUAAAGGCAAAAGCCUCACUCACGCCGUUGUGGUCUGGGUGCACUCAGUGUGGUCUGCGAUCAUCUGGCCACUGCGUAAUUGAAGAGUGUGGACUGUUCUAGCUGCACAGAGCCAGGGUCUGACGAUCUGACUCCCUGAACCGAAGCCUCUGCCUUCAGGGAGCUCCCCACCGGAAAAGUGUCAUUCACAGCUUGCAAAUCCUCAUCCUGAUUUGGGUCAUGCAUGUGUUUCUUCCUUCCUUCCAAUCUGAUUGAAAUUUUAUAAUGUUCUAGACCCUGUCCUUAACUUUAUGGUAAGAACUGAAAUAAUUAAUAAGAAUGACAAGGCCAUGCCUCUCCAAGGAGUUCACGGUCCG